RNAcentral lists this ribosomal RNA (253 nucleotides) under uncultured bacterium. RNAcentral describes it as "partial 16S ribosomal RNA". It matches the Rfam family "Bacterial small subunit ribosomal RNA", at positions 524 to 776 of the family's 1533-position model. The record is from RNAcentral.
UACGUAGGGGGCUAGCGUUGUCCGGAUUUAUUGGGCGUAAAGAGCGUGUAGGCGGCCAUGUAGGUCCGGUGUGAAAACUCGAGGCUUAACCUCGAGAUGUCAUCGGAAACCAUUUGGCUAGAGUCCGGAAGAGGAGAGUGGAAUUCCUGGUGUAGCGGUGAAAUGCGCAGAUAUCAGGAAGAACACCAAUGGCGAAAGCAGCUCUCUGGGACGGUACUGACGCUGAGACGCGAAAGCGUGUGGAGCGAACAGG